This 244-nucleotide non-coding RNA is filed under the name Streptomyces sp. WM4235. RNAcentral's name for it is "Streptomyces sRNA 4677". It matches the Rfam family "Streptomyces sRNA 4677". Rfam says of the family: Located in the intergenic region between anti-sigma factor SCO4677 gene and a putative regulatory protein gene SCO4676. scr4677 expression requires the SCO4677 activity and scr4677 sRNA itself seem to affect the levels of the SCO4676-associated transcripts. The record is from Rfam by way of RNAcentral. Lineage: Bacteria; Bacillati; Actinomycetota; Actinomycetes; Kitasatosporales; Streptomycetaceae.
GGACCUGGUGACCCGGGAUGCUUCUUUCCUUGCUUCGCAGUACCAGGGGAGAGAACCUGCCCUACCCCACCAGCCUCCCGCCGAGGCGCCCUCACUCACACGAGUGAAUGGCCCCAACUUGGCUGGCGGGACGGCCCGUUGCCUGGCAUAUGCUCGGCCCCGACAACUCCAGACACAGGACGGCCCCCGGCCGGGACGGCAAUCCCGAUCGAGGGCCUGACCACGAGAAGGAUCCAACUUCCCG